GAUAAUGUGGCUAACAAAGAAAAUAGGCUAAAUAAGGCUCAAAAGGGUUAAACCUACAAAACAAAGGCAUGGGAUGAAAGCUUUUUGGCUCUGGUUGUAACUACUAAACAACUUCAUCUUAUUAUAUGUUAUGCACUCAAUUUUAAGCUUUGAAUGAAACAGGCAUGAGUUUUAGUAUUUGGAACUAUAAUAAUGAAAACGCAUUCUAAGUAGCAACCAAGCAAAGAAUAAUGAGAUUAUGCAACGACUUUAGAAAAUAAGAAAUCACAGAUCAAUAACUUUCCAAAUAAAGUAUAGGCUCAAGUCUUUGAGGAUUGUAGCGUUAGUUUGAGUUCCUUCCUUCAAGCAUGUUACAAAAAAUGAUUUUGUACUUUGUGAUUACAUGUGAAUUCGUUAAUGACAAUUACAACCAAACAUUAACCAAAGAGCAUAUCAAACUUCCACCCAUGUUUGUAACUUUCUUUAACAGUCAUACAAUUAAAAAUCAAAUCCUCAUCAUUGUGUUGGAAGGUACCCUAAGAUACAAACAAACAAAAACAACUCUAAAACGAUUUUUUUUGGGUUUUUCAAAACUUUUUCUAUUUUUUUUCUUCAAAUUUUCGUAUUUUUCUUUCAAAACACACUAAAGCACUUCAAAACACACUAAAAACAUUUAAAAAUAGUGAGAAACAACUCUAGAAAUGCUAGGUGGUAAAAUCCUACGAAUUUCCAACAAAAACACUUGUUUACCCCCCCCACACUUAAACCAAACAUUGUCCUCAAUGUUUUAAACAUAAACUCACACAUAAGCAAACAAACAACACAACUAACAAACAUGACAAUUAUGGCAAAGAAAAAGUAAUAAAGAGUAAAGUUGAAGAACGCAAAUCUGGUUAUGGAGCUGAAGAUUCAUAGGUCUUCUUUAUUUGAACGCAUGGGUUGUCUCCCAAGAAGCACUUGCUUUAACAACCAGUUGAAUGAUACCUCCUUUUUAAGUUUUAUUGGAAACCACGGCAUGGAAGGGUAUUUCCUCCACAACCUGCCCCUCGAAACACUUCAUACUUUGGAUCUUUGAAUGGAAAACGAUAGUGAUCCUUCUUGCUUGUGGUAUUUUGCUUC
This 1098-nucleotide long non-coding RNA is filed under the name Malus domestica (apple). RNAcentral's name for it is "long non-coding RNA (MDOM_LNC008507)". The record is from RNAcentral. Lineage: Eukaryota; Viridiplantae; Streptophyta; Magnoliopsida; Rosales; Rosaceae.